Molecule: transfer RNA, 77 nt
Filed under: Synergistota bacterium
Lineage: Bacteria; Thermotogati; Synergistota
Also listed under: 1 other name
Description: Synergistetes bacterium tRNA-Arg
Rfam family: tRNA
About the family: Transfer RNA (tRNA) molecules are approximately 80 nucleotides in length. Their secondary structure includes four short double-helical elements and three loops (D, anti-codon, and T loops).
Source: RNAcentral
GUGCCCGUAGCUCAGCUGGAUAGAGCGUUGGCCUCCGGAGCCAAAGGUCAGGCGUUCGAAUCGCCUCGGGCACGCCA